Lineus longissimus is the source of this 3550-nucleotide RNA transcript. RefSeq lists it as uncharacterized. The record is from RefSeq and is a predicted model, not a curated record. The transcript is spliced from 7 exons. Lineage: Eukaryota; Metazoa; Nemertea; Pilidiophora; Heteronemertea; Lineidae.
GGAACCUGUGGACAACAUGGCCUCCACCGGUUGCGAUGAUGUUUUUGGCAAGAUAAAUCGCAAUGAAAUCCCCUCCGAUAAACUGUAUGACGAUGACAAGUGUUUUGUGAUCCGUGAUAUCAAUCCUUGCGCUCCGACCCAUUAUCUGGUGAUUCCGAAGAAGUGUGUGGAGUCCUUGGCAAAAUGCAGUGAUGAAGAUACUAUGCUCCUUGGCCAUCUUCUGCGUGUUGCCGACAAGGUUGCCGUAAAGGAGGGUUUGAAUAACGGUUAUCGUACAGUUGUCAAUACUGGAAAUGAUGGUGGGCAGGAGGUGAUGCAUCUCCAUAUACAUGUUCUGGGCAAGAGGAAGAUGUCGUGGCCGCCAGGAUAAUAAGGACUUGCAAUGGGUCAUUUCAAGUGAUGGAUGCGUAUUCUCAGUCUCGCCAUCAGUGUCUUAUGAACUUUUGAACAUUCAAUAGCAUUUCGCUUAAGGGAUGACCUUUCUCCGCUUUGCAAAAUCUCCCCCAAAUCAUAUUAUUUUGAGCCCUGCCUCCUACUAAUGCUGUUCCUUCAAUAACAUACCUAAAGUGAGCCAUAAUAACCUGCAGUUAUGUUAUGUUAUGUUAUGUUAUGUUAUGUUAUGUUAUGUUAUGUUAGGGAUAGUUUGUCAUAUGUUUAGUAGGUGGCUCCCCUGGUAAUUUAGGGGCAUUUUUUUCUUGCAUGUGGAUGGUUCAAUUCAUCCCAGCUGGCCAACAUAUUCAUUCUUUAAAAUGAUAGUUCUUUCAACACAAUUCACCUCAUCGAUCAUGAUCUACUAAUGUGUGUACCUUUUUCAAGGACAGAAUGAUAUUUCAUACUAACAGUGACAAUCAAUAAUUUGUUUAAAUUAUUUUUUGCCUCGCUCUGGCUUGCUAGAGGUUGAUAGCUUCAUGCGUAAUACGUUUUUGAUUGAAGUUAUGGAGUAGUUUGAAUUGUCCUAAGAUAGAAUGUCCUAGGUAAAACAAAAUUAUAUUAUGAACUUUAAUCUCUGAGCUAUUGACAGUCACGGCCGUAAUAGAACUAAUGUAUAAACACCAAUCCCUGAGAACACAAUUGAACCGGACACUUUUUCCAGGGGGACAUUUUAUACUUCUACACUGACAGUCCAGAGAAACGAAAUCGGAAGACGGAUAGACAGUAACCAAUAAUCAUUGAAUAAUAGGCACUUCGAUUUCGGUGGGCGACCUACCCGGAAAACACGUGCUCCCUCCGCAAAACACGCCAUCGUUGCAGGUGUUUUGACGAUAAGGAUGAAGUAAGUGUGAGCUAAGACGACUCACCAAAGGUUAAUGUCGACAACGAUCUUGCUGCCUGUAGUCGCCGCCGAAUGGCACCAGUCAUCAGUAACGCUGUUGUAGCAACGGAAGUAUCAUCAGUCUCAUCUCCAGGUUUGCUGGCUCGGAUGUCUUCUACGUCAUACACAUUUAGUGGCGGGCACGUACUGGCUGAGGCAGCACUAUCAUCGUCAGAUCGGAACGCUCUGGAUUGUACGCCCAGAGGGCAGGAUUAUAGUAAAUGUCGAAAUCGGUAUAUGGGUGGCCUUUGAGCCAAUAUAACUCUAUGCUUCACACACAUGUAACAGUAGAUUGAUGCAUGGGAUGACUAGUUUGACACGAUGAAACGGUAUAAACAAUACGUUAUUAUUUCAUUCGGGAAUUAUCCAUCACUGGGAAUAGGAAAAACAAACUGAUUUUCUCAAAAAACACCCGAUUCCCGACCGAAAUAAUAACGUGUUAAAACCAAUAACCGUUGUCGGUCGAGUGAACGAGUAGCUUUCGGAAAACAAUAAUUUAUGCAACGACGGAGACGUCAUAAGAGUGAGAGUCGUAGUACUCAUCUAUCGACAUGGGUUGACGUCCUAAGCGCGAGUCUCGUGGUACUUAUCUAUCAACAGGGGAUCACAAGCGGUCGUCCUAACAUCAAGAGCGCCAUCUGAACACGACGGUGCGUUAGGAUUAGGGUCGGUCUGAGUAAGCGGCAAGAAUAAGAGAGUAUACAUGUUUGGAUUACAGUCAGGGCCGGGGGUACUAUCAGGGCCAGGGUUUCUUCCCACCAUCAGUUUGCCCCUGAAUAGUCAAUGCAUAUAUACAGUUGUUGUGAACAGUUUGUUGAAAACGGUCUUUGAGGAACAAAACACACCUGGGUGAGCAUAGAACACGCGAAACAUAGGUAUAAGCAACCCUUCAAGCUGGUUCAAGCAUAUCAUCUAUUGCAACCUUUUAUCUGGGUUGGCAUCAGAAAGUCUCGUAUAAUAAUUUACUACUUUCCGAUUGCGCAUGUCCCAAGAGUAAACCCGUCCGAAAAUUCCUCGUCCUGUGGUCUCGUUGGCCUCCGUGCCAAAUACCAUUCACCCGUAUGAUCCUCGGAAAUCGAGGGUGAUUUUGCAGUACAGACCACGCAUGCGUACAUAUGUAUAUCUAUUCUUCAGAAACGUCUAUUAAAAAUGGCUCUUUUCCUUAUAUCAUCGAUACUACGUGAGAGUCUGCAGUUGCUAAAGCAUAUGGAGCCACAGUCGCUCAUGAGGAGCCAGCACACCAGAUUGCACGUUUCGACUCAGUCUUUUUUCCAUGUAAAUCGGCGCGAUUAGAGUAAAUAAGAAAACAAACUACCUAAUUUCUUAUCAAGAUCGGCAAGUUCAGAGUGAUAACGUUUUUUGGGCUAUCUUAUGUUAUUUAAAGGGUGUGGAAUGACAACCUUGCUACAUUCCGAUCUAUCACUCAAUCGAAGCAGUAUUGCUUUCAACUGUUCAAGUAUACAAUGGCGCCUAUCUUGGUUCGAUUACUUUUUGGAGCAGCUGUUAUUACACUAACAGUGUCACACAAGGAUGAAAAUGGGGUCACGUUGGAUUGCAAGUGUGACGGUGAUAAAGUAAGCCCCAAUGAUCCUCCUAUGGCUAUGAGACCAGUUUUAAGAUGCUGUACUUCUCGGAGCGGUGCACGUUCUUGCUGUAAUGCUGACGAAACUGCAUGUUUUUUAGCAUCGUUCUGCUGUUCAGCAUGCAUUGCCCGUAUCUCUGCAUGGACCGUUGUUGGACUAUUGAACGUGUACUUUUGGGUAACCAGGAUGCUGGUGUUAGACAAACAGGAUUAAAGAGGUGUUGCAUGGAGACUACUAGUAAUCGGGAUUCUAUACAAUAUCGCUUGCCAGGAAGGACAAGAGGAAUUCUUAAUAAUUCAAUGCUGGUUAUUUGGGACAAUAUGUCAGCAAAUGUAAUUGCCUCGAUGUGACAUUCGAAUCAUUUACUUCCAUUUCAUCAUCUUUUUCAUUUCGUUAGUAUUUAAAUGAACAAAGACAAUGAGAAAGGCCAGGUUAUGUUUUCAAUAUAGUGAUAUUUAAAUAUUUGAUUUUUCAAUAGCGGCAUGUAGAUAUAAGCACCUAAUAUAAAUUGACAAACCUCCUUUUCUUCUCGAUGUCAUCGAUGUAAUAUUUAAUACCCCUGUUUGUGCUGAAAUUAAAUAAAUAACUAGCAGAUGAAAAUAAAAUAUUGCAAAUUGACAUGAUGGAGUAAACCAAUAAAAAUUUGGUGUUUUCA